ACCAGGAUGGCCGAGAGGUUAAGGCGUUGGACUCAAGAUCCAAUAGACAUACGUCCUCGUUGGUUCGAAUCCCACUCCUGGUA
Oncorhynchus nerka (sockeye salmon) is the source of this 83-nucleotide non-coding RNA. Lineage: Eukaryota; Metazoa; Chordata; Actinopteri; Salmoniformes; Salmonidae. The record is from the annotation of a RefSeq genome assembly.